CCUACGGGAGGCAGCAGUGGGGAAUAUUGGGCAAUGGGCGCAAGCCUGACCCAGCAACGCCGCGUGAAGGAAGAAGGCUUUCGGGUUGGAAACUUCUUGUCACAGGGACGAAGAAAGUGACGGUAGCGGAGGAAUAAGCAACGGCUUACUACGUGCCAGCAGCCGCGGUAAUACGUAGGGGGCAAGCGUUAUCCGGAGUUAUGGGGUGUAAAGGGCGGGUAGGCGGGAGCGUAAGUCAGAGGUGAAAACUCCGGGCUCAACCCUGAGCCUGCAUUUGAAACUGUGUUUCUUGAGUGCUGGAGAGGCAAUCGGAAUUCCGUGUGUAGCGGUGAAAUGCGUAGAUAUCCGGAGGAACACCCGUGGCGAAGGCGGCUUGCUGGACAGUAACUGACGCUGCGGCGCGAAAGCGUGGGGAGCAAACAGGAUUAGAUACCCUUGUAGUC
Molecule: ribosomal RNA, 443 nt
Filed under: uncultured bacterium
Lineage: Bacteria
Description: partial 16S ribosomal RNA
Rfam family: Bacterial small subunit ribosomal RNA
Source: RNAcentral